AUUGAACGCUGGCGGCAGGCCUAACACCUGCAAGUCGAGCGAGCGGCGGACGGGUGAGUAAUGCCUGGGAAUUGCCCAGUCGAGGGGGAUAACAGUUGGAAACGACUGCUACUACCGCAUACGAUUUGAUUGCCCAGGUGGGGUUAGCUAGUUGGUGGGGUACUGGCUCACCAAGCCGACGAUCCCUAGCUGGUCGGAGAGGAUGAUCAGCCACACUGGAACGGAGACACGGUCCAUACUCCUACGGGAGGCAGCAUUGGGGAAUAUUGCACAAUGGGGGAAAGCCUGAUGCAGCCAUGCCGCGUGUGUGAAGAAGGCCUUCGGGUUGUAAAGCACUUUAAGCGAGGAGGCGUUACUCGCAGAAGAAGCACCGGCUAACUCCGUGCCAGCAGCCGCGGUAAUUC
Molecule: ribosomal RNA, 404 nt
Filed under: uncultured bacterium
Lineage: Bacteria
Description: partial 16S ribosomal RNA
Rfam family: Bacterial small subunit ribosomal RNA
Source: RNAcentral